Molecule: long non-coding RNA, 214 nt
Filed under: Nicotiana benthamiana
Lineage: Eukaryota; Viridiplantae; Streptophyta; Magnoliopsida; Solanales; Solanaceae
Description: long non-coding RNA (NBEN_LNC001659)
Source: RNAcentral
CCAUUUUAGACAAAAAAAGUGAGGAAAGAAGAUAUUUCUUCCUUAAUUCAAGGGGCCGGACCCCAUUAAAAUUUUGAGUCACGUCAAGUUAGAUACAAUGUACGUUAGAUAGAACUCCAUAACUACUGACAAUUGUGUACCCAGCAACGUGAAACUAAGUAUCGCUACACUUGGAGGUAAUAGUUUGAGCUUAAGAAACUAUAGUACUACUCGA